GUUAUGUUUCCCUAUUAGAAGAUACAAAGCCAAAAACUCAUACAGACUUCGGAUACACCAUCAAAAUUUUGAGAAGCAAUAAGAAGAUUGGUUAGUAUUUUAAAGUCAAAUAUUACAGGAUGUUAUGUGUAUCAUUGACUAUAAGAAUUAGAACCGCAACCGAUUCCCAAAAGCUAAAGUAAUGUUUCCUUGUUCAAAGAUACAAAGCCAAAGACUCAUACGGACUUCGGCUACACCAUCAAAGCUUUGUGA
RNAcentral lists this small RNA (252 nucleotides) under Arabidopsis thaliana (thale cress). Its description in RNAcentral is "ATSL197830". The record is from RNAcentral. Lineage: Eukaryota; Viridiplantae; Streptophyta; Magnoliopsida; Brassicales; Brassicaceae.